RNAcentral lists this ribosomal RNA (651 nucleotides) under uncultured marine bacterium. Its description in RNAcentral is "bacterial SSU rRNA". It matches the Rfam family "Bacterial small subunit ribosomal RNA", at positions 8 to 643 of the family's 1533-position model. The record is from RNAcentral.
AGAGUUUGAUCCUGGCUCAGGACGAACGCUGGCGGCGUGCCUAAUACAUGCAAGUCGAGCGGACUGAUGGGAGCUUGCUCCCAUCAGUCAGCGGCGGACGGGUGAGUAACACGUGGGUAACCUGCCUGUAAGACUGGGAUAACUCCGGGAAACCGGGGCUAAUACCGGAUAACUCAUUUCCUCGCAUGAGGAAAUGUUGAAAGGUGGCUUUUAGCUAUCACUUACAGAUGGACCCGCGGCGCAUUACCUAGUUGGUGAGGUAAUGGCUCACCAAGGCGACGAUGCGUAGCCGACCUGAGAGGGUGAUCGGCCACACUGGGACUGAGACACGGCCCAGACUCCUACGGGAGGCAGCAGUAGGGAAUCUUCCGCAAUGGACGAAAGUCUGACGGAGCAACGCCGCGUGAGUGAUGAAGGUUUUCGGAUCGUAAAGCUCUGUUGUUAGGGAAGAACAAGUACCGUUCGAAUAGGGCGGUACCUUGACGGUACCUAACCAGAAAGCCACGGCUAACUACGUGCCAGCAGCCGCGGUAAUACGUAGGUGGCAAGCGUUGUCCGGAAUUAUUGGGCGUAACGCGCGCAGGUGGUUUCUUAAGUCUGAUGUGAAAGCCCACGGCUCAACCGUGGAGGUCAUUGGAAACUGGGGAACUU